GACGAACGCUGGCGGCGUGCCUAAUACAUGCAAGUAGAACGCUGAAGGAGGAGCUUGCUCUUCUGGAUGAGUUGCGAACGGGUGAGUAACGCGUAGGUAACCUGCCUGGUAGCGGGGGAUAACUAUUGGAAACGAUAGCUAAUACCGCAUAAGAGUAGAUGUUGCAUGACAUUUACUUAAAAGGUGCAAUUGCAUCACUACCAGAUGGACCUGCGUUGUAUUAGCUAGUUGGUGGGGUAACGGCUUACCAAGGCGACGAUACAUAGCCGACCUGAGAGGGUGAUCGGCCACACUGGGACUGAGACACGGCCCAGACUCCUACGGGAGGCAGCAGUAGGGAAUCUUCGGCAAUGGACGGGAGUCUGACCGAGCAACGCCGCGUGAGUGAAGAAGGUUUUCGGAUCGUAAAGCUCUGUUGUAAGAGAAGAACGAGUGUGAGAGUGGAAAGUUCACACUGUGACGGUAUCUUACCAGAAAGGGACGGCUAACUACGUG
This 495-nucleotide ribosomal RNA is filed under the name uncultured bacterium. Its description in RNAcentral is "partial 16S ribosomal RNA". It matches the Rfam family "Bacterial small subunit ribosomal RNA", at positions 28 to 507 of the family's 1533-position model. The record is from RNAcentral.